UAAUACAUGCAAGUCGAACGCGUUGGCCCAAUUGAUUGAUGGUGCUUGCACCUGAUUGAUUUUGGUCGCCAACGAGUGGCGGACGGGUGAGUAACACGUAGGUAACCUGCCCAGAAGCGGGGGACAACAUUUGGAAACAGAUGCUAAUACCGCAUAACAACGUUGUUCGCAUGAACAACGCUUAAAAGAUGGCUUCUCGCUAUCACUUCUGGAUGGACCUGCGGUGCAUUAGCUUGUUGGUGGGGUAACGGCCUACCAAGGCGAUGAUGCAUAGCCGAGUUGAGAGACUGAUCGGCCACAAUGGGACUGAGACACGGCCCAUACUCCUACGGGAGGCAGCAGUAGGGAAUCUUCCACAAUGGGCGCAAGCCUGAUGGAGCAACACCGCGUGAGUGAAGAAGGGUUUCGGCUCGUAAAGCUCUGUUGUUAAAGAAGAACACGUAUGAGAGUAACUGUUCAUACGUUGACGGUAUUUAACCAGAAAGUCACGGCUAACUACGUGCCAGCAGCCGCGGUAAUACGUAGGUGGCAAGCGUUAUCCGGAUUUAUUGGGCGUAAAGAGAGUGCAGGCGGUUUUCUAAGUCUGAUGUGAAAGCCUUCGGCUUAACCGGAGAAGUGCAUCGGAAACUGGAUAACUUGAGUGCAGAAGAGGGUAGUGGAACUCCAUGUGUAGCGGUGGAAUGCGUAGAUAUAUGGAAGAACACCAGUGGCGAAGGCGGCUACCUGGUCUGCAACUGACGCUGAGACUCGAAAGCAUGGGUAGCGAACAGGAUUAGAUACCCUGGUAGUCCAUGCCGUAAACGAUGAGUGCUAGGUGUUGGAGGGUUUCCGCCCUUCAGUGCCGGAGCUAACGCAUUAAGCACUCCGCCUGGGGAGUACGACCGCAAGGUUGAAACUCAAAGGAAUUGACGGGGGCCCGCACAAGCGGUGGAGCAUGUGGUUUAAUUCGAAGCUACGCGAAGAACCUUACCAGGUCUUGACAUCUUGCGCCAACCCUAGAGAUAGGGCGUUUCCUUCGGGAACGCAAUGACAGGUGGUGCAUGGUCGUCGUCAGCUCGUGUCGUGAGAUGUUGGGUUAAGUCCCGCAACGAGCGCAACCCUUGUUACUAGUUGCCAGCAUUAAGUUGGGCACUCUAGUGAGACUGCCGGUGACAAACCGGAGGAAGGUGGGGACGACGUCAGAUCAUCAUGCCCCUUAUGACCUGGGCUACACACGUGCUACGAUGGACGGUACAACGAGUCGCGAACUCGCGAGGGCAAGCAAAUC
Molecule: ribosomal RNA, 1267 nt
Filed under: Limosilactobacillus fermentum
Lineage: Bacteria; Bacillati; Bacillota; Bacilli; Lactobacillales; Lactobacillaceae
Description: bacterial SSU rRNA
Rfam family: Bacterial small subunit ribosomal RNA
Source: RNAcentral